This 263-nucleotide ribosomal RNA is filed under the name uncultured bacterium. RNAcentral's name for it is "partial 16S ribosomal RNA". It matches the Rfam family "Bacterial small subunit ribosomal RNA", at positions 91 to 354 of the family's 1533-position model. The record is from RNAcentral.
CGGACCGGCGCACGGGUGAGUAACACGUAUGGAACCUGCCCGCAGCAGGGGGAUAAGCGGAAGAAAUUCCGUCUAAUACCGCGUAACACCGCGGAGGGGCAUCCCUCGGCGGUUAAAGAUUCAUCGGCUGCGGAUGGCCAUGCGGCGCAUUAGCUAGUCGGCGGGGUAACGGCCCACCGAGGCGACGAUGCGUAGGGGUUCUGAGAGGAAGGUCCCCCACACUGGUACUGAGACACGGACCAGACUCCUACGGAAGGCAGCAG